UUGGAGGGCAAGUCUGGUGCCAGCAGCCGCGGUAAUUCCAGCUCCAAUAGCGUAUAUUAAAGUUGUCACAGUUAAAAAGCUCGUAGUUGAAUUUCGGGAUUAGUACGUUGGUCGUGCCUUCGGUACGUACUGGUGUUACUGAUUCCUACCUUCUGACGAACCAUCAUGUCAUUAAUUUGGUGUGGCGGGGAAUCAGGACUGUCACUUUGAAAAAAUUAGAGUGUUUAAAGCAGGCUCGCGCUUGAAUACAUUAGCAUGGAAUAAUGAAAUAGGACGUUGACCCUAUUUUGUUGGUUUCUAGGAUUGACGUAAUGAUUAAUAGGGAUAGUUGGGGGCAUUAGUAUUCAAUUGUCAGAGGUGAAAUUCUUGGAUUUAUUGAAGACUAACUACUGCGAAAGCAUUUGCCAAGGAUGUUUUCAUUAAUCAAGAACGAAAGUUAGGGGAUCGAAGACGAUCAGAUACCGUCGUAGUCUUAACCAUAAACUAUGCCGACUAGGGAUCGGAUGAUGUUAUUUUUAAUGACUCAUUCGGCGCCUUACGGGAAAC
This 546-nucleotide ribosomal RNA is filed under the name uncultured Glomus. RNAcentral describes it as "SSU rRNA". It matches the Rfam family "Eukaryotic small subunit ribosomal RNA", at positions 548 to 1098 of the family's 1831-position model. The record is from RNAcentral. Lineage: Eukaryota; Fungi; Glomeromycota; Glomeromycetes; Glomerales; Glomeraceae.